ACUCAAAUGAAUAGACGGGGGCCCGCACAAGCAGCGGAGCGUGUGGUUUAAUUCGACGCAACGCGCAGAACCUUACCUUGCCUUGACAUGCUACUGCAAGCCCUAGAAACAGGGUCGCCUUCGAGGGUGUAGCACCGGUGCUGCAUGGCUGUCGUCAGCUCGUGUCGUGAGAUGUUGGGUUAAGUCCCGCAACGAGCGCAACCCUUGUCCUGUGUUACAAGUGUCACAGGAGACUGCCCUGGUCAACCAGGGAGGAAGGCGGGGAUGACGUCAAGUCCGCAUGGCCCGUACGGCAAGGGCGACACACACGCUACAAUGGCACUAAGAAUGCGUUGCUUCGUGGUAACACGUGGCGAAUCGCCAAAAAGUGUCUCAGUUCAGAUUGGGGGCUGCAACUCGCCCCCAUGAAGGCGGAGUUGCUAGUAAUCGCCGGUCAGCCAUACGGCGGUGAAUCUGUACCCGGGCCUUGUACACACCGCCCGU
RNAcentral lists this ribosomal RNA (483 nucleotides) under uncultured bacterium. RNAcentral describes it as "partial 16S ribosomal RNA". It matches the Rfam family "Bacterial small subunit ribosomal RNA", at positions 899 to 1397 of the family's 1533-position model. The record is from RNAcentral.